Molecule: transfer RNA, 26 nt
Filed under: Egernia stokesii
Lineage: Eukaryota; Metazoa; Chordata; Lepidosauria; Squamata; Scincidae
Description: partial tRNA-Leu
Source: RNAcentral
CUUUUAAAGGAUCAAAGUUAAUCCAU